GAUGAACGCUGGCGGCGUGCUUAACACAUGCAAGUCGAACGGAAAGGCCAGUCCUUUCUCUGGUGCUCGAGUGGCGAACGGGUGAGUAACACGUGGGUGAUCUGCCCUUCACUUCGGGAUAAGCCUGGGAAACUGGGUCUAAUACCGGAUAGGACAAUGUGUUGGAUGCCGUUGUGGGAAGUUUUUUCGGUGUGGGAUGAGCUCGCGGCCUAUCAGCUUGUUUGUGGGGGGUUGGCGUACCCAAGCGUCGUGGCGUGGCCGGCGUGUGAGAGGGUGAGGGGACAAUUGGGGAGUGAGACAGCGCAGACACCUACGGGGGGCAGAAGUGGGGAAUAUUGCACAAUGGGCGCGAGCCUGAUGCAGAGAAGCGGCGUGUGGGGGAAGGGCGUUCGGGGGGUAUACUCCGUUCUCGAGGGAGGAGGAGCAUGUGUGACGGUAAUUGGUGAAGAAGCACCGGCUAACUACGUG
Molecule: ribosomal RNA, 468 nt
Filed under: uncultured bacterium
Lineage: Bacteria
Description: partial 16S ribosomal RNA
Rfam family: Bacterial small subunit ribosomal RNA
Source: RNAcentral